GGGGGUGUAGCUCAGUAGUAGAGCACAUGCUUAGCAUACAUGUGGCCCUGGGUUCCAUCCCCAGCACCGCCA
Non-coding RNA from Dipodomys ordii (Ord's kangaroo rat), 72 nucleotides. The record is from Rfam. NCBI's taxonomy places the organism in Eukaryota, Metazoa, Chordata, Mammalia, Rodentia, Heteromyidae.